ACUCUAGAGAGACUGCCAGGGAUAACCUGGAGGAAGGUGGGGACGACGUCAAAUCAUCAUGCCCCUUAUGACCAGGGCUACACACGUGCUACAAUGGCGUAAACAGAGGGAAGCAGCCUCGUGAGAGUGAGCAAAUCCCAAAAAUAACGUCUCAGUUCGGAUUGUAGUCUGCAACUCGACUACAUGAAGCUGGAAUCGCUAGUAAUCGCGAAUCAGAAUGUCGCGGUGAAUACGUUCCCGGGUCUUGUACACACCGCCCGUCACACCAUGGGAGUCAGUAACGCCCGAAGUCAGUGACCCAACCGUAAGGAGGGAGCUGCCGAAGGCGGGACCGAUAACUGGGGUGAAGUCGUAACAAGGUAGCCGUAUCGGAAGGUGCGGCUGGAUCACCUCCUUU
This 397-nucleotide ribosomal RNA is filed under the name Anaerostipes hadrus. RNAcentral describes it as "bacterial SSU rRNA". It matches the Rfam family "Bacterial small subunit ribosomal RNA", at positions 1137 to 1533 of the family's 1533-position model. Lineage: Bacteria; Bacillati; Bacillota; Clostridia; Lachnospirales; Lachnospiraceae. The record is from RNAcentral.